RNAcentral lists this long non-coding RNA (1082 nucleotides) under Homo sapiens (human). Its description in RNAcentral is "SPRY4 antisense RNA 1". The record is from RNAcentral. Lineage: Eukaryota; Metazoa; Chordata; Mammalia; Primates; Hominidae.
AGUGUGUUAAAGUUAUUCUGAUAUUGACUGUAGUUCUGAGCUUUGUCUCUAUCCCACCAAACCACUAACUUCUGGAAAUUACUUGUAGACCAAGAUGGGAGGACUCCGUGUGUGGCUCCGUCCUCUGGCUGUCACUCAGACUCCCUUGUGAGUUCCUUGAAGGUGUGGGCAUGUCUCGUUCAUCCUUGGCUCCCCAGUGCCUAGUCCAGCACCCGAAGCAUAGUAAGAUUUCAAUAAAUGUCUGCUCUCUUCAUGUGACAAAGAAACUUCCUAAAAUACUAAAAGCUAAAGGAGAUUGUUAUCUAAGCUUGAGAUGGAAGGUUGCCAGCGGAAACUUGGAGGAUCACAGCCAGUCGCCUGGGAUUGACCACAGGGAGUGGCAGAGGCAGAAAGCAAAAGACCAGUUGCAAUUAUCCAGAAUCCUGAAUUGAGCCUGUGUUCCCAGUUCCUAGAAACCCUCAAGGUUAUUGGUUUCCUCCUCGCUUAAUAGACCAGUGGAAGAAAUCUACCUCCAGUUCUAUCUUCACAUGAGCAACUGUUUACAGUUUACAAUAUUACUCUGAAAAUCAGUUCUUUUCAAGUUUUAUCUAACACCCACCAGAAGAAACAGAAGAUUAUGAAAAUGGAAUUUGUCAAAGUUCCUCUCCCAACAAUAUGAUAUUUAAUUUUGCUAACAUUUUUUUUUGAACACUUACUAUAUUGCAGACAAUGGUCUAAGUAAAGCAUUUUAUGUGCAUCCUAUCAUGUCAUCAUCACACAGCCCUGUGAGGUAGAUACUAUUAUUAUUAACCACAUUUCACAUUCAAAAAAACUGAGGCUUAGAGAGACUAAGUAAAUUGUCCAAGGUCACACAGCCAUGAAGUGGCAGAGCUGUGGUUAAAACCUAUGUCUGUCUGAUGUUUAAGAUUUUGCUGUUAGCAUUACUUUGAAAUGACAAUAUGAGGGCAUUUUAUGUAUUUUUUUUGCCCCAAUAUGAUCUGCAGAAACUAUGUAUUUUAAGUACUACAUUUCUUUUAUUUACCAAAUUAUUGUCAGAUAAGAAACCGAAAUAAAAGUUUACAGGGUCUAGGAUUCCUCCAUAA